RNAcentral lists this ribosomal RNA (468 nucleotides) under uncultured bacterium. RNAcentral's name for it is "bacterial SSU rRNA". It matches the Rfam family "Bacterial small subunit ribosomal RNA", at positions 923 to 1391 of the family's 1533-position model. The record is from RNAcentral.
GCACAAGCGGUGGAUUAUGUGGAUUAAUUCGAUGCAACGCGAAAAACCUUACCUACCCUUGACAUGCCAGGAACCUCGCAGAGAUGUGAGGGUGCCCGAAAGGGAACCUGGACACAGGUGCUGCAUGGCUGUCGUCAGCUCGUGUCGUGAGAUGUUGGGUUAAGUCCCGCAACGAGCGCAACCCUUGCCAUUAGUUGCGACAUUUAGUUGAGCACUCUAAUGGGACCGCCGGUGACAAACCGGAGGAAGGUGGGGAUGACGUCAAGUCCUCAUGGCCCUUAUGGGUAGGGCUUCACACGUAAUACAAUGGUCGGUACAGAGGGCUGCCAACCCGCGAGGGGGAGCUAAUCCCAGAAAGCCGAUCGUAGUCCGGAUUGUAGUCUGCAACUCGACUGCAUGAAGCCGGAAUCGCUAGUAAUCGCGGAUCAGCAUGUCGCGGUGAAUACGUUCCCGGGUCUUGUACACACC